GGGAGUAAGAUGACCAAGAAGAAGCUACUAACUUCUACCUUAAGCGGUUAAAAUCCGUUUGUACUCCUG
This 69-nucleotide transfer RNA is filed under the name Sicyonia parajaponica. RNAcentral describes it as "tRNA-Ser". The record is from RNAcentral. Lineage: Eukaryota; Metazoa; Arthropoda; Malacostraca; Decapoda; Sicyoniidae.